This 253-nucleotide ribosomal RNA is filed under the name uncultured bacterium. Its description in RNAcentral is "partial 16S ribosomal RNA". It matches the Rfam family "Bacterial small subunit ribosomal RNA", at positions 524 to 776 of the family's 1533-position model. The record is from RNAcentral.
UACGUAGGGUGCCAGCGUUGUCCGGAAUUACUGGGCGUAAAGAGCUCGUAGGUGGUUUGUCGCGUUGUUCGUGAAAACUCACAGCUCAACUGUGGGCGUGCGGGCGAUACGGGCAGACUGGAGUACUGCAGGGGAGACUGGAAUUCCUGGUGUAGCGGUGGAAUGCGCAGAUAUCAGGAGGAACACCGGUGGCGAAGGCGGGUCUCUGGGCAGUAACUGACGCUGAGGAGCGAAAGCGUGGGGAGCGAACAGG